CAUCAAUCAAUUAACAGACUGAUUGAUUGUAUUUGUGUGAAAUUGCAAACUGCCUUGAUAAAUUUCUGCUUUUAUUUUGAAUUCUGUUAUGGCACCGCAUUACCAUAAUAUCGUAGAUAUACAGGCACAGCAAAUUAAGUGGUGGCUAGGUUGACCUGGGAUUUCGGAGUGGAGGGUGGCUUGACUGCAUUGACGGACAUGAAUGAAGGAGCAAGUGAAACCAUGUUUCAGCGGUAGGUCAAAUUCACACAUUUUGAGCAGAAUCUUAGCUGAGAAAGCAUUUUUGGCUUGAAUAUGGCUUCAUCUUCUCUAACUGCCCAAAACAAGCUUCUAGCGCCCUGAAAAGCUUGAUUUGGCCAGAAAAUACUUCUGACUGAAAUGAAUGAUGGAACAAGUGAAACCAUGUUUCAACACUGUGAUUAGGUCAAAUUCAUACAUUUUGAGCAGAAUCUUAGAUGAAAAAGCAUUUUUGGCUGGAAUACAGGUUCAUCUUUUCUAACUUCUCAAAACAAGCUUCUAGCGCCCUGAAAAGCUUGAUUUGGCAAGAAAAGACGUCUGACUGAAAUGAAUGCUGGAACAAGUGAAAAGUUUCAGCGGUAGGUCAAAUUCACACAUUUUGAGCAGAAUCUUAGCUGAGAAAGCAUUUUUGGCUUGAAUAUGGCUUCAUCUUCUCUAACUGCCCAAAACAAGCUUCUAGCGCCCUGAAAAGCUUGAUUUGGCCAGAAAAUACUUCUGACUGAAAUGAAUGAUGGAACAAGUGAAACCAUGUUUCAACACUAUGAUUAGGUCAAAUUCACACAUUUUGAGUAGAAUCUUAUGUGAGAAAGCAUUUUUGGCUGGAGUACAGCUUCAUCUUCUCUAACUGCCCCAAACAAGCUUCUACCACCCUGAAAAGCUUGAUUUGGCAUGAAGAGACGUCUGACAGAAAAUAAUAACGGAACAAGUGAAACCAUUGUUUCAACAGUACAAUUAGGACAAAUUCCCACAUUUUGGGAAUAAGCGUAGCUAAGAAAUUAUUUUUGGCUAGAAUACAGCUUCAUCUUCUCUAACUGGUCAAAACAAGCUUCUAGCGUCCUGAAAAGCUUGAUUUCGCAAGAAAAGACUCCUAAUUGAAAUCAGUGAUAGAACAAGUGAAACGAUGUUUCAACACUACGAUUAGGUCAAAUUUAUACAUUUUGAGCAGAAUCUUAGCUGAUAAAGCAUUUUUGGCUGGAAUAUAGCUGCAUCUUCUCUAACUGCCCAAAACAAGAUUCUAGCGCGCUGAAAAGCUUGACUUUGCAAGAAAAGACAUUUGACUGAAAUGAAUGAAGGAACAAGUGAAACCAUGUUUCAACAUCAUGAUUAGGUCAAAUUCACGCAUUUUGAGCAUAAUCGUAGCUGAGAAAGGAUUUUUGUCUGGAAUACAGCUUCAUCUUCUCUAACUGCCCAAAACAGCUUCUAGCGCCCUGAAAAGCUUGAUUUCGCAAUAAAAGGCGUCUGACUGAAAUGAAUGAUGGAACAAGUGAAACCAUGUUUCAACUCUAUAAUUACUUCAGAUUAAUGCAUUUUGAGCAGAAUCUCAGCUGAGAAAGCAUUUUUGGCUGGAAUACAGCUUCAUCUUCUCUAACUGCCGAAAACAAGCUUCUAGUGCCCUGACAAGCUUGAUUUCCCAACAAAAGGCGUCCGACUGAAAUGACUGAUGGAACAAGUGACACCAUGUUUCAACAGUACGAUUUCGUCAAAUUUGCACAUUUUGAGCAGAAUCUUAGCUGAAAAAGCAUUUGCAGGAAUACAGCUUCAUCUUCUCUGACUGCCCAAAACAAUGAUUUCACAAUAAAAGACGUCUCACUGAAAUCAAUGAUGGAACAAGUGAAAUCAUGUGUCAACACUAUGAUUAGGUCAAAUUCACAUAUUUUGUGCAGAAUCUUAUGUAACUCAUGUUAAAAUAUGACAUAAGUAAGUAAGUAAAUUAAUAAGUAAAUUAAUUUCUCAGAGUUUAUUAAAUGCUAAUACUGCUAAUACAACAAUAAUUUAAUGUUGAAGAAGUGUGUUGACAGAAACUUCAUGUCGCUGCACCUUUAAGAGACGAGUGACGCGAUACGCAGCACUUGAGAUGCUGCAGUAGAGACCUGAGGCUGAGAACAGAGGAGGAUGAUAAGAGAGGACUAGCGGUGGCUAAUACGCAGAGAAAAGAGCGAAAAAAGUAGAUUUUUGCAGUUGAAAACCGUAACUUGGCUGGUCGGGAACUGACGGGGGAUUUUAUGAAAACUAAGCCACAUUGCUUUUGGUCAGGUUUUUUUUUUUUGCUUGGUUUGAAGCUUGGUCGGAGCGAGUACUGGUCUGUACUGUGCGGGCGUGCACAUGCACAGACGGGAUCCAAGAUGGCGAGCUAGGCCCGGAUCUUCACCUCACCUUCUCCAUUCCAUCAGUGAGGAAAUCUUCUGCAUAUGGUGACUCGCUGCCAGAGUGGUAGGAGUAUCAGGAAUUAGUUUUGAACUGAACUGAGAACUGACUGGAUUGUUAUUUGUUUUUGGACAUUCAUCUUCACCACCACAUCAGUGAAGAAAUCUUCUGCAUAUGGUGACUCGCUGCCAGAGUGGCAGGAGUAUCCGGAGUUAGUUUUGAACUGAACACUUGAACUCACAUUUGGAUUCUAACUUGAAUUGAAAGUGUCAAACUUUUAUUUGUAUAUUGAGUUCAUACUUUUGAAUGUGAUUUGAAAUGAUAGUGGUCCACUUUGAUUUGAUUGUGUAAUUGAAGGUAUUUUCUUGCCUUAAAGGAAGGAAAAAAGAGUUAACUCGGGAAGAAAAACAGGAAUUCCAAAAAAAAGGACUGGUCCAAUAUAACUUAGAUUAGCUGCACUAAAAUAACUUUGGUGAACUAAAGAAAGUGAAAUAUCUUUUCAUUUAUUAUAUUUACCUCAAUAUUAAGAACCUGCAGGGCAUUUUUUAAAUUUGUGUACUGUACUUUAUAUGUGUUUUUGCAUUCAUUAAAUUGCCGGCCUUUUGCAGUUAAAGCAAUGGUCUCUGGUGUAAUUUUUGCUCCCCACUCCUUAGAACCUAGAACUAGCCCAGUGGCGCAGUAAGUGGUGUGAUACCGGUGCUACACUUAGCUGAGAAAGCAUUUUUGGCGUGUAUAUAGCUUCAUCUUCUCUAACUGCCGAAAACAAGGUUCUAGAACCCUGAAAAGCUUGAUUUCGCAAUAAAAGGCGUCCGACUGAAAUGAAUGAUGGAGCAAGUGAAACCAUGUUUCAACAGUAUGAUUUGGUCAAAUUCGCACAUUUUGAGUAGGAUCUUAGCUGAGAGAGCAUUUUUCACUGAAAUACAGCUACAUCUUCUCUAACUGCCUAAAACAAGUUUAGCGCCCUGAAAAGCUUGAUUUGGCCAGAAAAUACUUCUGACUGAAAUUAAUGAUGGAACAAGUGAAACCAUGUUUCAACAGUACGAUUAGGUCAAAUUCACACAUUUUGAGAAGAACCUUUGCUGAGAAAGCAUUUUUGGCUGGAAUACAGCUUCAUCUUCUCUAACUGCCCUGUACUGUCCUUGAAAGUUAAAAUGUUAAGUUAAAGUUCAUAAGUUAACUUGUAAGCAGGUCUAAAAAGUAUAUGUGCUUUGGUUCAAAGAAACAGCGUCAGAGUGAGUGGUCUUCUCUUUGGUUCAGAGAAACCGCGUCAGACAGGGUCUCCGCUGAUCCUUAAAAAGUAUUAAAAUGUCUUAGAUAAAAUAAACGUUUUUUAAGGUCUUAGAAUGUAUUAAAUUUCGCUAAUUUUCGAAGUGUGGCAUUAAAUUUCAUCAGGACGGUAUUAAAUUUCAUUUGUGCUGAAUGAAAGAAUAUGGAGAGAUAUUUUCCCAUGCUCGUCCCUGUUUAACAAGACGGUAAAUACGAAGCGCGUUGCAGACUUUGCAAAAAAAACAUGAAACUGGGAACAAUGGGCUGCAAAGCCCUUGACGCACACAUGAAAGGCGAGAAGCACAGGCGCUAUGCCGAAAGUCAGGCAACUUCUGUCCCCAUUCAGAUGUAUGCAGCAUCGGCUAACGUUACUGUAAAUCCAAACGCUAACGUUACGCCCGCGUUGGUGUCUUCGGGGCACAGUACAAGUAAUGCUUUCGGUACAUUCGCCCGAACCACUACACUGAAGGCCGAGAUGCUGUAGGUUUUACAAACAGUUAGCCGACAUCACUCAUAUACUUCAAAUGAAGACGUGAGCACAGUCUUCAAGGCAAUGUUCCCUGAUUCAGAAUGCGCAAAAACAUUCAGUUGUGGCAAGGACAAAACAUGUUAUCUUGCUCGGUUUGGACUUGCCCCGUACAUAAAAAGGGAACUUCUGUCAAGUGUGAAUCAAGGGACCUUCGUUAUCAUGUUCGACGAAAGCACGAAUAGGACCACAAAAAACAAACAACUAGAUUUGCAUGUCAGAUAUUGGGUGAAUGACAAGAAUGGAUCUCGAGUGCAGUCCGGGUAUCUGGGAUCACAGUAUAUGGGUCACUCCACUGCUGAAGAUCUACUGGAAAAGUUCAAGGUAAGCCAACAACCUAACAAAUUAAGACAAGCACGUGAUUUAAUGUUUCUAAAUGAGAUAAUUUUUUGCUAACAAAUACAUUUGCAACAGUUUUUAUUUAUGACCUCUAGUGGAUAAAUGUGUGUAAAAGCAACUUGCUGAUGUUGGAACUGGUUUUUAAUUGAAUAAUAGUAUAGCCUAUUCUAAGUUAUUGUGAAUGUCCCCUGUUUUAUUUAAUAAGCAAUUUUAUUGUCACUUAUAGAAAUAUAGUGUGUGAUGUGUGGGGGCUAUCCGGUGGACGGCAGGGUGGGGGGCUGGCUCUGGGCCUGUGUGUGUGGCAGUUUGCAUAAUGUGUUUUUUUCAUAAUUUUAGGAAUGUACAAAGGAACUAAAUCUCAGGAAUAUGCUCUCCUUGUCAAUGGAUGGACCUUCUGUUAUUUGGAAAUUUGUGAAUGCAAAAAGAGCAUGCUGAGCAAUUUGCUGGAACACAAAUUCAAAUUGUCGGAAGCUGUAGUUUACACACCCUUCACAAUGCGUUUAAGGGUGGUUUUGAAUUGUGGAUGGUGGAAAAAGUGCUGAAAGCACUUCAUUUUCUCUUCCACUCCGCACCAGCCAGAAGAGAAGAUUUCACUUCUGCAACAGCAACCUCAACAUUCCCCUUGCCUUUCUGUGGACAUAGGUGGUUAGAAAAUUUGCCAGCUGUUGAAAGAGCGUUAGAAGUCUGGCCCUCCAUCGUGAAGUAUGUGGAGCUUGUGAAGUCAAAGAAGGUGAAGAACCCAGGGACAUCAUCAUUUGACAGCAUUUGUGAAGCCCAAAUGGAUCCCCUUCUGCUGGCCAAAUUCCAUUUUUUCGUGGCCAUAUCACGAGCCUUUCAGCCAUUUCUGGCGAAAUAUCAGAUGGAUGUGCCGAUGAUGCCCUUCCUCUGGGAGGACUUGGAAAAUUUGAUCCGGGUAAUCAUUCACAACAACAGUAGCAAUAACAAUAAAUGUCAAACACACACACACACACACACACACACACACACACACACACACACACCUUAACUAAACUGAAUUUUAUUUUCAGAAUCUCCUGAAACGCUUCAUCAAGCGAGAUGCCCUGCCUCUCACUCCUUUCAAACUUGUUAGGCUUGAUGUAACGGAUCAAAAACUCUGGCUGAGUCCAAAGGAAGUGGACAUUGGAAUGGGUGCAACAGCUGACCCUAACCCUCCUGAAAAUUCAUUGAUAUCUUUAGAUAGAGGUGCACAAAUGUGAAUAACUUGCUGUGUUUACAAUUGAGGUUUUGUUAUUCUUUUGCUUAGUGUUUGGAGAGAUCAUAGAAAUUUGACAAGCCAUGUUUUGUUGUCAGGAACUGUCAGGGGCCAAAGGCAGAGUAAGUGAUCUUGGGGUGCUUCAGUUCAGGAAAGACUGCCAGGUUGUUCUUUCGAACAUCUGCCAGAAGACACUGGAUAAGUGCCCUCUGAAGUACUCAGUUGUGCACAAUAUGAUGUGUUUGGACCCAAAGAAAAUGCACUCAAAGCCAGAUGACUGUUUGGAGAAGAUAAAAGCACUCAUCCAGAAGUUUGCGCAGGACAAACAGUUGGCAGGCGGGAUAUCUCAUGGUGAUGUAAUAUCUCAGCAGUUCGAAAAUUUCCUGCACAGUGAUGCCAAAGGAUUGGACUUCAUCUCCUUCAGUCUUUCUGAAGAAUGCAGAGUUGAUGUAUUUUUGCAUCAGAGAAUGGGUGGGUCUUACCCCGACCUCUGGACAUUCUGCAAAAAUCUGCUGCUCUUGUCCCAUGGGCAAGCGGAAGUUGAACGUGGGUUCUCCACAAAUAAAGAGGUGGAGACCUGCAACUUAACUGAGGAGGGAAUCAUUGCACAGAGGCUUAUAUGUGACCAUGUCAGAGUGUUUGGAGGAGUGACCAAAGUGCCUCUGACCAAAGAGAUGAUCAGCUACUGUGCUACAGCACGCACCAGGUACAGAGCAUACCUGGAAGAGGAGAGGAGUAAGAGGGAAAAAGAUGACCAAAAGAAAAAAAGAAAGAACAUGAUGGAGGAACUGGAGGAUCUGAAAAGGCAACAAAGAUCAUUGGAGGGAGUGUGUGAGAGUCUUCAAAAUGAUGUAGACCAAAUGGCUGAAAAAGCUGAAAAUUCUGCCGGCACCAAGAUGGCAGCACUCAUCACAAAGUCAAACACCCCGAGAAGGUGAGCAAAGGAAAAGAGAGAGCAGUUGGCGGCCCUUACAGCUGACAUUGAAAACAGGGCUUCUGAACUGAGAUGCUUAACAGAUUGGACUAAAAAUUGUGCAAGAAUGUUGGUUUUUUGUUUGUUUAUUACUCUGUCCGUUUUGGGACUGCAUUUCACUUGUCUGUUGCAAUAUGAUUUGUUUACGUACUGUUUGUAUGUUAUUUACAGCAGUAUUGUUGUAGAAUUGAGAAGGCAGUUGCCUGACAUGCACUUUAUGUUAGUAAAUAUGCACUGACUCUUUGCACUGGUGCUCAAAUUCAGCGCCCUGAAAAGCUUGAUUUGGCCAGAAAAUACUUCUGUAUACUUCUGU
Molecule: long non-coding RNA, 7012 nt
Organism: Acanthopagrus latus (yellowfin seabream)
Lineage: Eukaryota; Metazoa; Chordata; Actinopteri; Spariformes; Sparidae
Exons: 3
Source: RefSeq, a predicted model, not a curated record